AGUAAAUGCAACAGUUCCCACUGUGCUGAGGGCCCUGAAGGAGGGUCAGGCGGUGUGGCGCAUCUCUACAUGGGAACAACAGAGUGACACCUACGGGAGCAGACUGACUCCACCAACAAGUGCACAGCUCGAGUCUUUCAGGCAAAUAUCUCAGAAUUGGUUGAUCUUCUUACUCUUGACCUAAUCAAUGCAAUGAAGGAAAAGUGAACCUGGGUUUACCUACUGGCCCCACCAACAAGGACUUCAAGAUUUUCAACAAGUCACUCAUCUCAAUGAUUCUGCUGCUGCUUCUGAAAAAUUGAGGUGGCCAUUUCUGUCCUACCGAACUUAGACUCAGGAAGGUUACAGGCAGACACAAUGCCUUUAUUUUAUUUUUAUGUGGUGCUGAG
This is a long non-coding RNA of Sciurus carolinensis (gray squirrel), 389 nucleotides long. RefSeq lists it as uncharacterized. Lineage: Eukaryota; Metazoa; Chordata; Mammalia; Rodentia; Sciuridae. The record is from RefSeq and is a predicted model, not a curated record. The transcript is spliced from 3 exons.